RNAcentral lists this long non-coding RNA (570 nucleotides) under Heterocephalus glaber (naked mole-rat). RNAcentral's name for it is "lncRNA (ENSHGLG00000050345.1)". The record is from RNAcentral. Lineage: Eukaryota; Metazoa; Chordata; Mammalia; Rodentia; Bathyergidae.
GACAGACACCCCACAAGUGAGUACAAGGAAAGCAAACCUGAAUAUUGGUGGGUUGUAAUAUCAUUGUCCUGGUUGGGAAAUCAGUUUUGCAGGAUAUGGCUGGCCAUUGAGGGAAAGUUGGUUAAAGGGUACACAAGAUGUCUGUUCUGAAUAACUGCAUGGGAUGUACAGUAUUUAAAUCAAUAUUUCAAUGGAAAGAGGACUUUGGGCCAAAGGAGGCAACUUCCUGGAAGGAUUGAACAAAGGCCCAGUGGAUCCUGUCAUCCGUUUAAGUGCCCCUCUCACAGGCACUAGGAAGCAGAAAUGGUGGCAGAUGAGGCGGUCCUCCAUGCCUCCAGUCCCUGGCACUUCCCCUUGCAGAGACAAAUCAUGAGUACAGCCAACUCUGUCCCGUCUUCCUCAUGCAGGUUUUAUUUCUCCCUGACCCUCGAUGCUCAGCAGAGCUCCCCACAACGACCUGUCUCCUUAUUUGCUCUGCUGUGCCUGUUCCACACCCAGCUGAGGCCUAAAGAGUGUGAGGUUUCCUGUGUGCAGUGAGAGCUCCGGACGCUGUGGGAUGGCCUGGCCCAG